UCAGACGAUGCGUCAUGCAUAUCAAUAAGCGGAGGAAAAGAAACUAACAAGGAUUCCCCUAGUAACGGCGAGUGAAGCGGGAAGAGCUCAAAUUUGAAAUCUUAAAGGGUUUCCCUUUACGAAUUGUAGUUUAAAGAAGUGUUUUCUGUUGAGGUUUUGGUAAAAGUUCUUUGGAAUAGGACAUCAUAGAGGGUGAGAAUCCCGUAUUUGACCUUUACUUUCAACUUUGUGAUACACUUUCAAAGAGUCGGACUGUUUGGGAAUGCAGUCCAAAAUGGGUGGUAAAUUUCAUCUAAAGCUAAAUAUUGGCGAGAGACCGAUAGCGAACAAGUACCGUGAGGGAAAGAUGAAAAGAACUUUGAAAAGAGAGUUAAACAGUACGUGAAAUUGUCAAAAGGGAAGCGUUUGACACCAGUGUUGUUUUUCUGAAAAUCAAUUAAAGAACUGUUUAUGCUAAGUUGUUUAGACUUUAUCAGCUAUCUGUUUAGUUUUGAGCUUUUCUUUAAUGCACUUUUCAGUUAACAAGUCAACAUCAAUUUCUUUUGCUGUAAAAAAGCUUGAGGAAGGUGGCUUGAGAUUCGUCUUAAGUGUUUAUAGCCUCUUGCCUAUGCAGUCGGAGAGAUUGAGGUCUGCAGCGUAGAUCCUUCGGGGCUAAAUGCAUUUGUGCUAAGUUAUAGCAUUUUAUAGACAACUUGUUGACUAUGAUUUGUCUUGUAGCUUACUCGCUUAUGUUAUUUUACCUACGCUUAGGAUGUUGAAUCUGUGCGAGACUAC
Molecule: ribosomal RNA, 774 nt
Filed under: uncultured Neocallimastigales
Lineage: Eukaryota; Fungi; Neocallimastigomycota; Neocallimastigomycetes; Neocallimastigales
Description: partial large subunit ribosomal RNA
Rfam family: Eukaryotic large subunit ribosomal RNA
Source: RNAcentral